GGGGACUGGGAUGAAAAGAGCUGAGGCCACCUGGCUUGUGACAUCACCUGAGACCAGCACCAUGGUGGCCUAGGGCAGAACAUGAUGACGUGGCUGCUUGGUGACCUUGAAGGUAUUUUGAGAGGUGAAGGGGACCCUGAUAGUGAUUGUUGAUUUAGUUUUUAGGAAGAUUUUGGAAAAUAAAGACAGCAGGGAUGGUGAGCAAUCCCAGUGCUGGCAAGCCAGACAGGCAGUAAAUGUUUCCUAGAAUACAAACAGAGCAGGAGCCAGUACACGAAGGCUGCAGAAUCACUGUCAAAAUGUAAUCAGAUGAAAAAAAGAAAGCAAAAGCAGAGACCAAGACAUGGAUGUGACACCCUGGAGAGGGGGAGGGAGGAAUGUAAAGAGAAGAAGAAGCAGCUGAACUCUGUGCUGCUGAGUUCUACACAGCUACAGCUGUCAGUAACCCUUGCAACACUCCCAGCUUGAGCAGGUUAAGUCAGCUGUGCUUUGCUCCUAAGGGGGAUGCUGGCUCUGCCAAGCACAGAAUCCACCCCUGGAUCCUCCUCCAGAGCCCACCUUGACAGGCUCGUCAAGCCCAGGUCGUGGAAUCACAGCGCCCUUGCCAAGUGUGCAGUUGUCUGAUCAUGUGAAGAUCACCUACCUGGCUCUGCCUUGGCCUGCGAGGGAUCUCAAAUAAAGCAAGCAAGGGUGACACGUUACUGAGCAGCACAAGUGUCAUCGUUCCUCCAACUGAUAGUAGCUAUGGAAACUGUGACAUCACCACCGACAUAGCGAUACAUAAAAAUUCAAGCGGCUGGGGACCGGUUGCUAGGAGAGCUCCGCUUGGGAAAGUCACCGGGCAGGCAGCCAAGGGACGGGAGUCUGCUGAACAUGUUGUACUUCACCCUGGUGAUUUUACUCUCCUCCCACUAUUUUCCC
This is a long non-coding RNA of Passer domesticus (house sparrow), 921 nucleotides long. RefSeq lists it as uncharacterized. NCBI's taxonomy places the organism in Eukaryota, Metazoa, Chordata, Aves, Passeriformes, Passeridae. The record is from RefSeq and is a predicted model, not a curated record. The transcript is spliced from 6 exons.